Molecule: transfer RNA, 77 nt
Filed under: Moritella sp.
Lineage: Bacteria; Pseudomonadati; Pseudomonadota; Gammaproteobacteria; Alteromonadales; Moritellaceae
Also listed under: 8 other names
Description: tRNA-Arg
Rfam family: tRNA
About the family: Transfer RNA (tRNA) molecules are approximately 80 nucleotides in length. Their secondary structure includes four short double-helical elements and three loops (D, anti-codon, and T loops).
Source: RNAcentral
GCGUCCGUAGCUCAGUUGGAUAGAGCGCGCCCCUCCGGAGGGUGAGGUCGGAGGUUCGACUCCUCUCGGACGCACCA